UACGUAGGUCCCGAGCGUUGUCCGGAUUUAUUGGGCGUAAAGCGAACGCAGGUGGUUUAUUAAGUCUGGUGUAAAAGGCAGUGGCUCAACCAUUGUAUGCAUUGGAAACUGGUAGACUUAAGUGCAGGAGAGGAGAGUGGAAUUCCAUGUGUAGCGGUGAAAUGCGUAGAUAUAUGGAGGAACACCGGUGGCGAAAGCGGCUCUCUGGCCUGUAACUGACACUGAGGCUCGAAAGCGUGGGGAGCAAACAGG
RNAcentral lists this ribosomal RNA (252 nucleotides) under uncultured bacterium. Its description in RNAcentral is "partial 16S ribosomal RNA". It matches the Rfam family "Bacterial small subunit ribosomal RNA", at positions 524 to 776 of the family's 1533-position model. The record is from RNAcentral.